GACGAACCGUACGAACGUUAUUCGGAAUUACUGGGCUUAAAGGGUGCGUAGGCGGUGCGGAAAGUUGGGUGUGAAAUACCUCAGCUUAACUGAGGAACAGCAUUCAAAACUUCCGUGCUUGAGGGAGAUAGAGGUGAGCGGAACUUAGGGUGGAGCGGUGAAAUGCGUUGAUAUCCUAAGGAACACCGGUGGCGAAAGCGGCUCACUGGAUCUCUUCUGACGCUGAGGCACGAAAGCUAGGGUAGCGAACAGG
RNAcentral lists this ribosomal RNA (253 nucleotides) under uncultured bacterium. RNAcentral's name for it is "partial 16S ribosomal RNA". It matches the Rfam family "Bacterial small subunit ribosomal RNA", at positions 524 to 776 of the family's 1533-position model. The record is from RNAcentral.